AGAGUUUGAUCAUGGCUCAGGACGAACGCUGGCGGCGUGCCUAACACAAGCAAGUCGAGGAGGUAAUGUACCCGAGUAAUCGGGAUACACGACCGGCGCACGGGUGAGUACCGCGUAUGCAACCUACCUUCAACAGGGAGAUAGCUCCCGGAAACGGGAAUUAAUAUUCCAUAAUAUUUUUUUAAGGCAUCAUAGAAAGAUUAAAGCUCAGGCGGUUGAAGAUGGACAUGCGUGACAUUAGCUAGUUGGUAAGGUAACGGCUUACCAAGGCUACGAUGUCUAGGGGGUCUGAGAGGAUGAUCCCCCACACUGGUACUGAGACACGGACCAGACUCCUACGGGAGGCAGC
RNAcentral lists this ribosomal RNA (349 nucleotides) under uncultured bacterium. RNAcentral's name for it is "bacterial SSU rRNA". It matches the Rfam family "Bacterial small subunit ribosomal RNA", at positions 8 to 352 of the family's 1533-position model. The record is from RNAcentral.